RNAcentral lists this long non-coding RNA (1346 nucleotides) under Homo sapiens (human). RNAcentral describes it as "non-protein coding LINC02204:18". Lineage: Eukaryota; Metazoa; Chordata; Mammalia; Primates; Hominidae. The record is from RNAcentral.
GGCAACCAGUUGGGGGUCCACUGCCGCAGUGUGGGAGGUUUGUUCUUUCGCUCUUUGCAAUAAAUCUUGUUACUGCUCACCCUGGGUCCACACUGCUUUUGUGAGUUGUAACACUCACUGGGAAGGUCUGCAGCUUCACUCCUCAAGCCCGGGAGACCGCGAGCCCACCGGGAGAAACGAACAACUCUAGACGCGCCGCCUUAAAAGCGGUAACAUUCACUGCGAAGGUCUGCAGCUUUACUCCUGAGCCAGCGAGACCACGAGCCCACCAGAAGGAAGAAACCCCGAAUACGUCUGAACGUCAGAAGGAACAAACUCCAGAAGCGCCACCUCAAGAGCUGUAACACUCACCGCGAGGGUCCGCGGCUUCAGUCUUGAAGUCAGUGAGACCAAGAACCCACCAAUUCGGGACACAAUACCUAUAAUCCCAGUACUUUAGGAGGCCAGGGCAGGCGGAUCAUCUGAGCUCAGGGGUUGGAGAGGAGCCUGAACAACAUACCGAAACCCCGUCUCUACAAAAAAUACAAAAAUUAACCGGUUGUGGUGGCCGGUGCCGGUAGUUCCAGCUAGUGGGGGACUGCGGAGGUGGGAGCUGAAGCGGGAGGAUCGCUUGAGCCUGGAGGUUGAGGCUGCAGUAAACAGGGAUUGCGUCAGGACACUCCAACCUGGGGAACAGAACGAUGCCCUAAAAGGCUGGCUGAGCUGACUGGAGUCCAAUCUCCUGACUCUCAACCUUGACGCAAUAACAGCCCAGGAGCAGAGAGACCAGCUAGUACCCAGAUCUUGAUUUCUAAAUGCUGUUACCCACCAGGAGGAACUAAAAUUUUCUGCAGAAAUGGCUGACUCCAGAUCCAUGAAAAUGAAGCUCCAUGUCAAGCCUGGGAUGUCUUAUGGUCCCAAGAAGGAAGGAUAUGCUUAAAAACUACUGAGGUCACAUGGAAAGGACACGGAAGCUGACUGAGGGAUCUGCCUCACUAAGUUUUGGGACUACUGAGCAUCAAAAAGAAUGACUGUAAGGGGGCCGAGCUUGGUGGCUCAUGCCUGUAAUUCCAGCACUUUGGGAGGUCAAGAUGGGCGGAUCACGAGGUCAAGAGAUCGAGACCAUCCUGGCCAACAUGGUGAAACCCCGUCUCUACUAAAAAUGCAAAACUUGGCCGGACAUGGUGGUGGGCCCUGUGGUCCCAGCUACUUGGGGAGGCUGAGGCAGGAGAAUCACUUGAACCUGUGAGAGGGAGUUUGCAGUGAGCUGAUAUAGCGCCACUGCACUCCAGCCUGGUGACAGAGUGAGACUCCAUCUCAAAACAAAACAAAACAAAACAAGAAUGACUAUAGUUAAUUAAAAUGCA